UAGGGAAUCUUCCACAAUGGACGAAAGUCUGAUGGAGCAACGCCGCGUGAGUGAUGAAGGGUUUCGGCUCGUAAAACUCUGUUGUUGGAGAAGAACAGGUGUGAGAGUAACUGUUCACAUCUUGACGGUAUCCAACCAGAAAGCCACGGCUAACUACGUGCCAGCAGCCGCGGUAAUACGUAGGUGGCAAGCGUUGUCCGGAUUUAUUGGGCGUAAAGCGAGCGCAGGCGGUUUCUUAGGUCUGAUGUGAAAGCCUUCGGCUUAACCG
Molecule: ribosomal RNA, 268 nt
Filed under: uncultured bacterium
Lineage: Bacteria
Description: partial 16S ribosomal RNA
Rfam family: Bacterial small subunit ribosomal RNA
Source: RNAcentral